Long non-coding RNA from Drosophila biarmipes, 2213 nucleotides. RefSeq lists it as uncharacterized. The transcript has 2 exons. NCBI's taxonomy places the organism in Eukaryota, Metazoa, Arthropoda, Insecta, Diptera, Drosophilidae. The record is from RefSeq and is a predicted model, not a curated record.
CAAUGGUUUGCCCCAUCCCUAGUUAGUUCCAAAUGUCGAUAGUUUCAAAAAGUUGUGUGAAAGUAGGCUUUGACUUCACCGUUUUCCUACUUGCCUAUGCCGAGAACUGUUCAUGCUCAGUCUAACUCAAGCCUCGGAACAGCGCAGUACAAUUAUUUUUUUUUUUUGUGUUUAAGUUAAUAGAUCCGUUUACGCCAACGAAGUUGGACGGGGACUAUCAAAGGAGUGACUCUUUGCUGUUCGAAGGCAUCGUUCGCAAUUCGGAAGAAUCUAUAGACGAAGAACUCGGGCAGCCACCAUCUAAUGAGUCGUUCUUCUCUCGGCCGUCUGAAGGACACUGUUCGCAAUCCUCAAGAAUCUCCAUGGACGCAGAAAGUGCUUUUUUCAUUUGCCGGAUGGGGUGACUACCCUAUUUUUCGCAAUUCAGACGUAAAGGCUUUUCCACCGGUUCAUCGAAGAAAAUAAUGCGGAAGAAUCUAUGGACGAAGAAGAAUUCUUCUCAAGAAUCCGUCUGGCUCAACGAAGUCGGGCAGCAACCAUCCAAAGGGUGACUCUUCUCUCUGCUGCUCGGCGGAAGUCCUGUUUCACUACUCGCAAUCUGGUAGAGUUCCACUGCCAUCUUCCUAGAAUCUUCUCAAGAAUCCUUUUGGCUCAAUUCGCAAUUCCGUCCAAUCUGCAUUGACGACGAAGCCCCCUGUCACUGCGUGAACAAAGUCUGUAGCCGGAACCACAACAUCCUGGCACUGUUGGUUCUUCGGCACUAACCCGGCGAAUAUGCGAGUCGGACGAAUCACCACAGAAGGUGUAAUCAAUCAUGGGAUGGUCUCUGCCGGCUUCGUAGAUCCAGUGGAUGAGGGCUAUUCCAGAGGGAAAGGUCGUCUUCCGCUGGCUCUGCAAAGCCGGACAAGGACUGUCCAAGGAUUGAAUACUCCGUCAGCGGGGAUUCUUAAGCUUGGCCGGUUCCCCAACAAGCCGAGGGAUCCUCAACCAUCGGAGAAGAUGCAAAAACUGGACCCAGGUCUUCCUUUACCAUUGGAAACACCGGCACUACUUCGGCGAACUGGUCUGGAAUUAGAAAGCCUCCCGUUACUAGAUGAAGCAACUACAAAAUACACCACCCCGGCGAUUAUGAAAUUCGGACGAAUCCCCACAGAAGGUGUAAUCAGUCAUGGGAUGGUCUCUGCCGGCUUCGUAGAGCCAGCGGAUGAUGGCUAUUCCAGAGGGAAAGGUCGUCUUCCACUGGCUCUGCAAAGCCGGACAAGGACUGUCCAAUGAUUGAAUACUCCGUCAGUGGGGAUUCUUAAGAUUGGCCGGUUCCCCAGCAAGUCGAGGGGUCCUCAACCAUCGGAGCAGAUGCAAAAACUGGACCCAGGACUUCCUUUACCAUUGGAAACACCGGCACUACUUCGGCGAUCUGGUCUGGAAUUAAAAGGCCUCCCGUUACUAGAUGAAGCAACUACAAAAUAAACCACCCCGGCGAUUAUGAAAUUCGGACGAAUCCCCACAGAAGGUGUAAUCAGUCAUGGGAUGGUCUCUGCCGGCUUCGUAGAGCCAGCGGAUGAUGGCUAUUCCAGAGGGAAAGGUCGUCUUCCACUGGCUCUGCAAAGCCGGACAAGGACUGUCCAAUGAUUGAAUACUCCGUCAGUGGGGAUUCUUAAGAUUGGCCGGUUCCCCAGCAAGUCGAGGGGUCCUCAACCAUCGGAGCAGAUGCAAAAACUGGACCCAGGUCUUCCUUUACCAUUGGAAAAACAGGCACUACUUCGGCGAACUGGUCUGGAAUUAGAAAGCCUCCAGUUACUAGAUGAAGCAACUUCAAAAUAAACCACCCCGGCGAUUAUGAAAUUCGGACGAAUCUCUACAGAAGGUGUAAUCAGUCAUGGGAUGGUCUCUGCCGGCUUCGUAAAGCCAGCGGAUGAUGGCUAUUCCAGAGGGAAAGGUCGUCUUCCACUGGCUCUGCAAAGCCGGACAAGGGCUGUCCAAUGAUUGAAUACUCCGUCAGUGGGGAUUCUUAACAUUGGCCGGUUCCACAAGAAGACGAGGAAUCUUGGAACUCCGAAGAGGGGUCCUCAACCAUCGGAGCAGAUGCAAAAACUGGACCCAGGUCUUCCUUUACCAUUGGUAACGCCGGCACUACUUCGGCGAACUGGUCUGAAUUUAGAAGGCCUCCCGUUACUAGAUGAAGCAACUACAAAAUAAACAUAUCUUACAUUUUA